UACGGAGGGUGCAAGCGUUAUCCGGAUUCACUGGGUUUAAAGGGUGCGUAGGCGGCGCGGUAAGUCGGGUGUGAAAUCUUGGAGCUUAACUCCGAAACUGCAUUCGAUACUGCCGUGCUUGAGGACUGGAGAGGAGACUGGAAUUUACGGUGUAGCGGUGAAAUGCGUAGAUAUCGUGAGGAACACUAGUGGCGAAGGCGAGACUCUGGACAGUUCCUGACGCUGAGGCACGAAGGCCAGGGGAGCAAACGGG
RNAcentral lists this ribosomal RNA (253 nucleotides) under uncultured prokaryote. RNAcentral describes it as "partial 16S ribosomal RNA". It matches the Rfam family "Bacterial small subunit ribosomal RNA", at positions 524 to 776 of the family's 1533-position model. The record is from RNAcentral.